GGGAAUAUUGCACAAUGGGGGAAACCCUGAUGCAGCGACGCCGCGUGAGCGAAGAAGUAUUUCGGUAUGUAAAGCUCUAUCAGCAGGGAAGAAAAUGACGGUACCUGACUAAGAAGCUCCGGCUAAAUACGUGCCAGCAGCCGCGGUAAUACGUAUGGAGCAAGCGUUAUCCGGAUUUACUGGGUGUAAAGGGAGCGUAGGCGGUAAGGCAAGUCUGAUGUGAAAGGCCAGGGCUCAACCCUGGGACUGCAUUGGAAACUGUUUAACUGGAGUGUCGGAGAGGCAAGUGGAAUUCCUAGUGUAGCGGUGAAAUGCGUAGAUAUUAGGAGGAACACCAGUGGCGAAGGCGGCUUGCUGGACGAUGACUGACGCUGAGGCUCGAAAGCGUGGGGAGCAAACAGGA
Molecule: ribosomal RNA, 403 nt
Filed under: uncultured bacterium
Lineage: Bacteria
Description: bacterial SSU rRNA
Rfam family: Bacterial small subunit ribosomal RNA
Source: RNAcentral